GCUAAAAAAGGCUUGCCAUCCUUCCGGUAAUGACUUUCUUUUUUUACAUAUCUGAUUUGUGUAGCACCACACAUCUCUCCAAACUACUUUUCAUAUUAAAUUUUGUGCAGUACUAUGGAUUUUUCGAACUAUUUUCUCAUAUCUGAGUUGCAUAGCAUCAUGUGUUUUUUCCAGUGACUCAGAUUUGAUUUGCAUACUUCCAUUCGUCUUUUCGAUGACUCCCCAAAUCUGAUUUGCA
This 238-nucleotide unclassified non-coding RNA is filed under the name Hevea brasiliensis (rubber tree). Lineage: Eukaryota; Viridiplantae; Streptophyta; Magnoliopsida; Malpighiales; Euphorbiaceae. The record is from RNAcentral.